This is a long non-coding RNA of Carassius carassius (crucian carp), 2204 nucleotides long. RefSeq lists it as uncharacterized. Lineage: Eukaryota; Metazoa; Chordata; Actinopteri; Cypriniformes; Cyprinidae. The transcript is spliced from 4 exons. The record is from RefSeq and is a predicted model, not a curated record.
AAAAAAAAAAAGCGUUGAAUAGAAAAAAAAAAUCAUGUAACCACUUUGAAAAAUACAUUUUAGUUAGUAGUGUUGGUAUUUAGUUACUGCAUCCAGUAAACUUUGCAGACUCUGCCUAAAAUCUGAGCAAACAAUCCUCUGUCAUUCAUCCCAGUUCUGAACUGUUAAAUGCUAAUUCUAUAGCUACACCAUGCUGAGGAGGCCAGUAACAAAUGAAAGUGAAGUUUUGGUGAAGCUUGGGACCCUGCGACUUAAGUGAAACUCAAGCUGAUAGAGAAAGAGAUGAAGAACAAGGAGAUUCUGAUUCAGGGUUACCAUCAGGUUCGGAGCAAAAACACAUCUGAAACUUCUUUCUGAUGAUUUUAACAAUAAAGGAGAAUGAGAAGCUUUAUCUGCAAGUGAAAGUGCUCCAAGCUCAAAGCAAACAAAACGAGGAGGAUUUGUUCAUGGAGAACCAGAGGCGUCUCACUGAGCUGGCCUUCACCAGGUCAGUGCUCUAAAAGUGUGUUGGUAGAGUGAUAUAAUACAUAUCAAAGCGGGGUUUUACUAUUCAUGCUGUUCUUUGCAGCAGCCGUUACAAAAGCAAUGCAUACUCAUUUCCCAAGGACCGACUGAACAUGAAGAGCAUUCAAAGAACCAUCGGAGGGAGAAGCAUUUCUGACCAAAGCUUCAACAUUGCACAGUUGACCAAAAAAGGAGGAGCAACUGCAAGACAAGAUCCGCUGGCUAAAACAAGCCCUGCAUGUAGACAUGGAGAUGGUGAGGAAAGGGCGGGACUCUACAUCAGGUGAUAAAGGUUUCGAACUAAAGAUGCUCCAGGAGAAACAUCGGGAGGAAGUCACAGAGCUGAAGAAGAGACUGUAGUGGUAUGCUGAGAACCAGGAACUACUAGACAAAGAUGCAGCCAGACUCUGAACUGCCACCACUGAGAAGGUGGCAAAGCUCAAAAUGCAGGUCAGCAGGAGGGCCAAUGAGCAACAAAGAAAGGCAAAAGAGAGAGCGGGCGAAGCUAAAAGAAUCCAGACCUGGAACGACAGGUCAGACACAGCCUCUCCACAUAUUUUUGUUGUCUCAUUCUGCAGGUACUGCUAAUUCAGGGCACGUUCUUUUUGUGCUCUAUUUCCUGAGAGGUGGAAUUAUCCAACCGUGUCUGUGAGUAACAGACCAUCUGCCUGGAUAGUCAGUUUUCCAAGCACUUUCUGCUUGCCACAUCCUCUUCAUUUUACAACUCCUUUCUUUGACAGAUAUGGAUCAUCUGGAUGACUAAAUUAGUAGCUUUGUAUACAACUGGCUAAAUGGUUAGUGUACUCUCACUAUUCUCUUUGAGUCAUGUUGUUCAUGUAGGUUUCGAGUCUGGCUUGCAACAUUUCCCAAACCAUUCAAAUGUUCCUGUUUCUGUCUACUGUAUCUAUCCAAUAAUAAAAUAAUACUAAAAAUAAUCAUGAAUGGAUUUCACUCAUGUUCCCAUUUCCUGUCUCAACUCAAACAGAUGGAAGAGCUCUUGAGACGCAGUCAUCCAAACUCCCUACCAUCCCUGAUCUUGCCGCUUCAUCUACCGGCACAGAAGAUAAUGGAUGAGAUGUUUGUCCCCCAACUGCCCCUCAUUCCAACCAGACAGCAGCUCUGUGGAGAGACAUGUCCAUCAAUUGGUGGCGGAGCUAGAAGGCUGCAAUGAAGCAGCCACACGCAGGCUCAGAACAAUGGAACAACAGUAUCACAGAAUCAAAGUACUCAUUUCAGUAUUCAGUAUUGAAUAGAGCAAAAGGAAUUUAGUUUAAAAGCGCUGACUGUUCAGUCAAUAGUACAAUAUAGGAUCAAAACAAGUUUGAACUAUUGGGACAUGGUGCCCCAGAGCCCACGGACUGAAGUACACUGUUUUCGUUCUUAAUUAGUAAUGGAAAAAAACACUCAAACUACUUCUCUUUUUUUCCAAGAAUGUUUUUUACCAGAGCUCACAGGUGGAUCAAUCUAUUUCCGGCAAAUAAGUUUGCAGAGAAAAUUAGGUUUCUAUUUAAGUCCCAAGUGGACAGGGCUUUGAGUGUGCUGUAAGAAUGGCAUCAUUUCUCUAAUUUCUAAACCCCGCUGUUUGCCCAUAUGAAUGGUGGAAAUAGAAACUGCCAUGAGAACGGCAUAUAAGACUUGGCGAUAAAUUGAAUAAUUACUAUGUAUCUGCUGAUUUACUCUACUGUUCAAAGGUUCAGGGA